Non-coding RNA from Pyrrhoderma noxium, 72 nucleotides. The record is from the annotation of a GenBank genome assembly. NCBI's taxonomy places the organism in Eukaryota, Fungi, Basidiomycota, Agaricomycetes, Hymenochaetales, Hymenochaetaceae.
GGUCUUUUAGUAAAAUGGUUAUUACAGUUGCCCUUCACGCAGCCGGUGUCAGUUCGAAUCUGAUAAAGACUA